AGCUGGAGUGGACAGGACGGCUUUCGAGAUUUGGCGCGGCCUUUGUCUCUGGCUGCAGUCGUAGCUCCAGGUCUUUUCUUCUCUGUUCUGUGUCUUCUGCUCCUAGAGGCCCAGCUUCUGUGUCCCUGUGACCUGUAGGUAUUGGGAGAUCCACAGCUAAGAUGCCAUAGCUGAUGUGACCUUUUUCUUCCUAGGUUCUGCCUGCAAAGAAGAUUGUGACAUAUUGCUGGUUGCAACACCACGGUGAUGUUACUUUUUGCCUUCUCACUGCCCUCAGAAGGCAUUGUGAUAGAACAAUUGUCUCAUCGUUUAUUUCAGUCCACAGGUGGGUUAUUGACACUCAGACCAAGAUUCAGUACACCUGAAAGACUGUGACUCCACUAAGAAAACAGUCUGUGAGAGGAAUUGAGGCUCUCGUCCAUGGAUCUAGUCCACUGUUGAGAUUGUGAAUCAUGUACUUAGGCCCAACAUAAAAGAGGUGUUGAUUCUCAUACCUGGAACCUGGACAUGUGCAGGAUUGUUAAUCUCAUUUAUGAACAUUCCUGCAGCUGUGAUUGUGACAUAUGCCUCUGCCCAGCACCUGAGUGAUUGAAUUCUUCUGCCUGGGCUCAGCCCACAGAUUGGAUUGUGAAACAUUGCUGAACCCAGGACCUAACUAAUGUAAAUCUAUUCUCCUGCCUUGGCACUGCCCACUGGGAACCCUGUGACAUAUUGCUGCACCCAACACCCAGGUUAUGUGGCUCUCCUGCCAGUGCCUUGCCCACACGGGCUGUUGUGACAUAUUGCUGGGUCCACACCCAGGUGAUAUAAUUCUCUUGCCUAGGCCCUGCUUACAGAGAGCAUUGUGACAUAUCUUUCUGCUCAUCACACAGUUAAUAAGACAGUUUCUGCCUGGUUUCUCCUUACAGGGUGUAUCAAAACAGAUUGCUAGGCCCAGCACCUAGCUGAUGUGACUCUUUCUAGGUUUUGCCCACAAGGAACAUUGUGACAUAUCACUGGGCCCAACAGCAAGGUGAUGUUGCCCUUUUGCUUUGGCCUUGCUCUCAGAAAGCAUUGUGACAUAUUGCUGAACCCAGCACCAAGGUGAUGUGAGUUGGUAUGCCUGGACCCUGCUAACAAGAGGCAUUGUGACAUACUUCUGGGACCAUCAUCUAUUUGAUGUGACUCUCCUUUUACCUGGGCUUCUGUUGUAAAAGAGAUUGUGACAUAACUCUGGGCCUAACAGCUAGGUAAUGUGACUUUUCUUUUGCUUGGACCAUGCCCAAGGAAAGAGAGUGAUGUAUUACUAAGCUCAUCACAUACGUGGUGUAAUUUCUUCUGCUCGGUCUUUGCCCACAGGAAUCAUUUUGCUGUAUUUCUGAUUCAUCACCUAGUUGAUGUGACCUUUCUUUUUUCAGACUUGUCUGCAGCGCAGAUUGCUACAUAUUGCUUGGCCCAGCUCCUAUGUGAUGUGACUCUCCUGUCAUACCUGAGUGCUCCCCACUGCGGUAAUUGUGACAUAUAGCUGGGCUCUGGCCCUAGUUUAUGUAACUUUUCUUCCUGACUGCUACUCACCUGGGGGCAUUGUGACAUAUCUCUGAACCUCUCACCUAAGUGAUGUGAAUCUCCUGCUUGAGCCCACUUCUCAGGGAGUAUUAUUAUAUAUUGUCACACACAGCAACUAGGUGAUAUGACUCUCUCUACAGCUUGGACUCUGCCCAAUAAAAAACUGUGAUGUAUCACUGGACCCAGCACCAAGGCUAUGUGACUCUCCUGCCGGGGCUCUACAUUCAUUGUUUUUGUGACAUACGGCUGGGAAUAAUGUCUAGGUCAUGUGACUGUCCUGCAUGGACCCUGCCCACAGGGGUAUUAUGACACAUUUUUUUAGUCAUCUAGGUGAUGUGACUCACUUCUGCCUGGGCCCUGCCAGAAAGAAUGAUAGUGACUUAUCACUGAACCCAGCACUUAAGUGAUGUGACUCUCCUCUUUUGCCUGGACCUUGCAUGUUUUUGGUAUUGUGACAUAUUGCUGGGCCCAACACCUAGGAAAUGAGACAUUUUUGCUUCAGCCCUGACUACAGGCAGCUUUCUGACAUUACUCUGUAUCCAUCACAUAGGGCAUACGUCUCUCAUCUCUUCUGCCUGCACCUGCCCACAGGGAAGAUGGUGACAUAACACAACAACUAGGUGAUGUGUCUCCAGCCUGGGCCUAGCCCACCAGAAGUAUUGUGACAGCUGGUUUCUGAGCCCAGUGAUAUGUUACAAUGCUCCCUGUGGAGCCCCCUGUGACACCUGGUCUCAGAAACUAGGUGAUGUGACUACUGCCCAAGCCCUGCUUUUAGAAAGGAAUUGUGACUUAUCACUGGCCAAAUGUGACAUGAGCCUCCUGCCUGGUCCUUGCUUUCAGAGAAGACCAUGACAUAUCUCUGUUCCAGCACCCAGGUGAUGUGAUAAUACUGCCUGGGCUCUCCCCUCAGGAAGUAUCAAGACAUAUUUCUGGACCCAGCCCAUAGGUGGUAUGACUGUCCUCCACUACUUAGACUCUGCCCAAGAAGCGACUAUGAUGUAUCAAUAUUCCCAGCACUUAGAUGAUGUAACUCUCUUAUGCUUGGGCCCUGUUCACAUAGUAUAUGAAACAUAUGUCUGGGUCCAUCACCUAGUUGAUGUGACUCUUCUGCAUGGGCUCUGUCCAUGGAGAUAUGAAAUAUUUUUUCAUUCAUCCCCUGCCAUUUCUCUUUUGUGCCUCUUUUGCCUGGGCCUUGCCAAAAAGAGGAUUAUAAUGUAUCACUGGACCCAGAACCUAGGUGAGGUGACUCCUAUUUUGCCUGGGGCUCACAUAUUUGGGUAUUGUGAUAUAGGGGAUGGAUGGGAGGCACAUGAGUGGGCUUUGCUCACAGAAGGCCUUGUGACAUCUCAGCAUUCAUUACCUAGGAAAUGUGACUAUUGUCUUCCAUUUGCACCCUGCUUACAGGGAAGAUUGUGACAUAUUGCUGGACCUAGCAACCAGGUGAUGUGUCUCUCUUGCCUGAACCCUGCCCACAGGGAGCAUUGUAACAUAUCUCUGGGCUCAGCAGCCAAGGGAUGUUACUAUCCUUCCCGGUCCCUGCCCUCAAGUAAUAUUGUACAAAUCUUUGGCCCAGCACCCGGGUGAUGUGACUCCCCUGCUUAUUACCUACCUGCACGUGGAUUUGUUACACAUAAUGUUGUUCCAGCUCAUAGGUGUGAUGAUGACUCUCAUAUAUUGAACCAGCCAAUAGUUGAUACAGUCUCUCAUAGCUAGGCUUAGAAAAAUGGAUAAGAUUCUGGGUCUUCUGUUUUUAUAAAGGUCAGAAAGGAGUAUCACACUCUCACAUAUGGUAUAAAGUCUUCAGGUUGUACACAGUGUGUCAUUGCAGAGCCCAGUGCACAGGUGAGAUUUACUUGUGUGUAUGCACACCCUACUAUCCAUUAAAAUUGUAAUUCUCACAGACGGACAGACCCUACUUGUAAUCUCACAUAUGGAUGCAGUCCACAUUUGGAAUUGUCAUAUGUGAACAUCCAGCCAGAUAUGGGAUAGUAAAACAUUUUUAAAUGCAGCUCAUAGAAAGGUGAGGGCUCUCCUAUCUAGACACAGAAAAUUAGGGAGAUGUUGACUCUUAUACCUGGGGUUAAGAACACAGAUAUGAUUAUAGGUUCAUACCAGCACAAAUGUCUUAGAAUAGAUUGUGACUCUCAUGCAAAACAUAAAGCCCUAGCAUAGUACAGAGAGUGUCCUAACAGGGCCAAGCACACAGGUGAGAUUACGACACUUGUAUGCACACACUUUCAACAGUAAAGAUUGUCCUGCACCCACAUAAACAACCCGCUGUUGAGGUUCUGAACCUCACACACAAAGCCAGCUGAAAUUUGGAAAAUUGAAUCAUGUGGAUCUGGCCCACAGCUGGGUUGGUGACUCUCAGAUAAAGAUUCAGCACUCUUGUGAGCCUCUGACUCCACUAGGGGAAAAUAGUUCACAGGAGGGAUUGAGGCUUUCAGACACAGAUCUAGCCACCUUUAAGACUAUGACUCACGAAAUUAGACCCAAAAUAGAGAAGGUAUUGACUCUCAUACCUAGAACCAGGACGUGUGUGGGAUGUUUAAUAUAAUCCCUAGACCUUGCAGGUGUGAUUGUGACAUACACCUUUUCCCAGCACCUAAGUGAUUUGACCCUUCUGCCUGGGCCCUACAGAUGGGAUUGUGGCAAAUGACUAAACCUAGCACCUGGAUGAUGUGAGCCUAUAAUUUUGUCUAAGCACUUUUCACAGAGAGAAUUGUGAAAUAUUGCUGGCCCUAACACCCAGGUGAAGUGACUUUCCUCUAUUGCUUGAUCUCUCUGCCCAAGGACAGAUUGUGAUAUAUGACUGGGCCCAGCACCUAGGUAAUGUGACUUCCUUCUCCUGCCUGGGCCCUGCAUACAUUGAGUAUUGUGACAUAUGGCUGGGUCUAACACUUUCAUGAUGCAAAUCUGCAUGGGCCCGGCCUACAGAGGUAUUAGAACAUAUCUGUUUAUUCAUCACCCAGGUGACGGAGAAGAGGUGGUGAUUGAUUUCACUCUCCUCUUCUGCCGGGGCCCUGCCAAAAUCAGGGAUUGUGACAUAUCUCUGAUUUUGCAUCUAGCAUCUAGGUGAUGAAACCUGGUAGCAUCUAGCAUGUAGGUGGACCUAGCAUCUAGGUGAUGAAACUCUUCUGUUUUCCCUGGGCCCCACAUAUUUUGGAGAUUAUUACACAUAUCUGGGACCCAUACCUAUGGGAUGGGGUGCUUCUGCCUGGGCCCUGCCCACAAGGGACCUUGUAAAAUAUCUUUUUAUUUAUCACCUAGGAAAUGUGACUCUCUCUUACCUGUAUUCUGCCCAUAGAAAAUGUUGUGACAUAUUGCUGGGCCAUGACACCAGGUGAUUUGUCUUUCCUGCUAAGGCCAUGCCCAGAAGGAGCAUUUUGACAUCACUGGACUUAGCAUACAGGCAAUAUUAAUACAGGAGUUAAAUCAAAAUUAUUUUAGGGAGUUAGUAAGAGUAAGGGUUCUCAAUGGAAUUUUUCUUUAAUAAAACAGGGCCCCAGAGCUAUUUGUUUUCCUAAAAGAAAGCAGCCUAAAACGUGAAGCUGUAAGCAUAGAUCAGCAAGCUGGAAGCUUGCAUAUGCAAAUGCCAGGAGCUAUACUAAAAGCCAGGUACACCACACAUGACAAUUUUCCCUCCUUUUUCUGUCAUCACGUGUGCAGGUGUCAUGGCAUCGGCCAGGUAGAGAUUACAUUUACAUAAUAAAAGAUUAGGGUAGAAGGGACAUUUUCUUUGUGGGCUAUGUAAAUGGCACACCUGGUCAAACCAAUCUCCUGGGCCCUGUGUAAAUCAAUCACUGCCUCCUCAAUCCAAUCCUCUAUAAAAUUGAAUCUAUUCUGCCCCAAACUCAGAAACCCCCUUGGGUGACCCACUUUUUCUGAAAGAGGAAGCUCUGUCUCUCCCUUUC
This 5459-nucleotide long non-coding RNA is filed under the name Homo sapiens (human). RNAcentral's name for it is "HSALNT0123630". The record is from RNAcentral. Lineage: Eukaryota; Metazoa; Chordata; Mammalia; Primates; Hominidae.